GACGAACCGUGCGAACGUUGUUCGGAUUUACUGGGCGUAAAGGGCGCGUAGGCGGCCACCGCAAGUCAGUUGUGAAAGCUCUGGGCUUAACCCAGAAAGGUCAACUGAUACUGCGGGGCUAGAGUGCAGAAGGGGCAACUGGAAUUCUCGGUGUAGCGGUGAAAUGCGUAGAUAUCGAGAGGAACACCUGCGGCGAAGGCGGGUUGCUGGGCUGACACUGACGCUGAAGUGCGAAAGCUAGGGGAGCGAACGGG
This 254-nucleotide ribosomal RNA is filed under the name uncultured bacterium. RNAcentral describes it as "partial 16S ribosomal RNA". It matches the Rfam family "Bacterial small subunit ribosomal RNA", at positions 524 to 776 of the family's 1533-position model. The record is from RNAcentral.